GAAAUCUAUUUAGGUAGAGCGUCAUCCGAAUACCCUCGGGGGUAGAGCACUGGAUGGGUAAUGGGGCCCCACAGGCUUACUGAUCCUAACCAAACUCCGAAUACCGAGGAGUAAUGCGUGGCAGACACACUGCGGGUGCUAAGGUCCGUAGUGGAGAGGGAAACAGCCCUGACCGCCAGCUAAGGUCCCAAAGUCAACACUAAGUGGGAAACGAUGUGGGAGUGCUUAGACAACCAGG
RNAcentral lists this ribosomal RNA (238 nucleotides) under Exanthemachrysis gayraliae. RNAcentral's name for it is "partial Bacterial large subunit ribosomal RNA". It matches the Rfam family "Bacterial large subunit ribosomal RNA", at positions 861 to 1097 of the family's 2925-position model. Lineage: Eukaryota; Haptophyta; Pavlovophyceae; Pavlovales; Pavlovaceae. The record is from RNAcentral.